Molecule: ribosomal RNA, 757 nt
Filed under: Oceanobacillus sp. ASBCFS15
Lineage: Bacteria; Bacillati; Bacillota; Bacilli; Caryophanales; Bacillaceae
Description: bacterial SSU rRNA
Rfam family: Bacterial small subunit ribosomal RNA
Source: RNAcentral
UGCAGGCGCAUGCUGUACUGUCAGUCGAGCGCUGGAAGCUAAUUCUCAUCCCUUCGGGAUGAAUAGAGUGGAACGAGCGGCGGACGGGUGAGUAACACGUGGGCAACCUACCUAUAAGACUGGGAUAACUCGCGGAAACGUGAGCUAAUACCGGAUAAUACUUUUUAUUGCAUAAUAAGAAGUUUGAAAGGCGGCGUAAGCUGUCACUUAUAGAUGGGCCCGCGGCGCAUUAGCUAGUUGGUGAGGUAAAGGCUCACCAAGGCAACGAUGCGUAGCCGACCUGAGAGGGUGAUCGGCCACACUGGGACUGAGACACGGCCCAGACUCCUACGGGAGGCAGCAGUAGGGAAUCUUCCGCAAUGGACGAAAGUCUGACGGAGCAACGCCGCGUGAGUGAAGAAGGUUUUCGGAUCGUAAAACUCUGUUGUUAGGGAAGAACAAGUCAGGUAGUAACUGACCUGACCUUGACGGUACCUAACCAGAAAGCCACGGCUAACUACGUGCCAGCAGCCGCGGUAAUACGUAGGUGGCAAGCGUUGUCCGGAUUUAUUGGGCGUAAAGCGCUCGCAGGCGGUCUUUUAAGUCUGAUGUGAAAGCCCACGGCUUAACCGUGGAGGGUCAUUGGAAACUGGAGGACUUGAGUGCAGAAGAGGAGAGUGGAAUUCCAUGUGUAGCGGUGAAAUGCGUAGAGAUAUGGAGGAAACACCAGUGGCGAAGGCGACUCUCUUGGUCUGUAACUGACCCCUGAGGAACGAAA